CUCAAAAAUGGUUGUUGUUGAAGCCUUUGUUAUCAAAAGGUGCAUGUGGAAGUAAGAUCAUAGUAACUACCCGUAGUCAACGUGUUGCUGAGAUUAUGGGUACUGUUCCUGCGCACAACCUAAGUCUUCUCGGUCAGGAGGACUGUCUGUCGUUGUUUUGCAAGUGUGCAUUCAAGGAAGGGCAAAUGGAGUUGAAUCCAAAUUUGGUUGGAAUUGGGAAAGAAAUAGUGGAGAAAUGCAAGCAAGUUCCUCUGGCAGUGAUUAACUUGGGGACUCAACUGUAUGGUAAGACUGAUGAAAAAGAGUGGGAAUCGGUGAGAGACAGUGAGAAGUGGGAAGAAGAGGGAGAUGGCAUUUUACCUGCCUUGAAAAUAAGCUAUCAAAGACUGCCGACUCACUUGAAAAGAUGCUUUCUUUAUUGUUCCGUUUUUCCAAAAGAUUAUGACUUCUUAGAUCUCGAAUUGGUGCAAUUUUGGAUGGCACAUGGGCUCAUUCUUCAAUCAUCAAAUCCAAAUGAGAACUUGGAAGAUGUUGGCUUGCGUUAUAUGCGCGAGUUGAUCUCAAGAUCUUUCUUCCAAGAUUAUAAGGUUGUGAGGAUUGGAGCUUCCUUUAUGAUGCAUGAUUUAAUGCAUGAUCUUGCAUCAUCAUUGGCUCAAAAUGAGUUUUCAAUCAUAAGCUCUCAAAACCACCAAAUUUCCAAAGCGACCCGUCAUCUGACAGUUCUUGACUCUGAUUUAUUUUUUCAUAAAACUCUCCCCAAGUUCCCAAACAACUUCCAUCAAGUGCGGUCAAUAGUCUUUGCAGAUAGUAUUGUGGGGCCUACAUGCAAAACAGACUUUGAGAAAUGUUUGUCACAAUUUAAGCAAUUGCGGUCUUUGGAAUUCAUGGAUGAUUCUGUAUAUGAGGCUUUUCUGGAGAGGAUUGGCGCCUUGAAACAUUUGAGAUAUAUCCAUUUGGGGAGGAACGCAAAAAUAAAAAGACUCCCAAAAUCUAUUUUCAAAUUGCAAAACUUGCAAGCUCUGGCAGUUACAAGUGACGGAUUAGUAGAGCUGCCCAAAGAUGUGAGGCACAUGACCAGCCUUAGAAUUUUAUUUCUAGUUACCCUGCAGAAGCGGUUGCCAGAAGGAGGGAUUGGGUGUUUGGAGUAUCUUCAAACUUUAUUCAUUGUUGCGUGUCAAAAUCUAGAAAAUUUGUGCGAAGAUAUGCAAGGUCUUAAAAGUCUUCGAAAAUUGGUUCAUUGUUGCGUGUCAAAAUCUAGAAAAUUUGUGCGAAGAUAUGCAAGGUCUUAAAAGUCUUCGAAAAUUGGUUGUUACUGGAUGUAAUAGCUUGAUUUCUCUGCCAAGAAGCAUAAAAUGCCUAACUACUCUGGAAGAAUUAUUUAUUAUCAACUGUAAAGAGCUUGAUUUGAGGAUGAUAGAAGAAAAGAAUGAGGAAAAAAUUCAACCUCUUUCCCUUUCCCUACGUAUUGUAAUAUUUGACAUGUUACCAUCAACUAUUGCUUUGCCAGAACAGUUUCUUCUAGGAUCUGCAGAAUCCUUACAAACAUUUAUCAUCAAAAGGUGUCCAAACAUUGGAGAAAUGCCACAGUGCAUCGGCAAUUUAAAAAAACUUCAAAAUCUUGAGAUAAGUGAUUGUCCAAGGUUGAGCAAAAAAUGUCGAAAGGGAACAGGAGAAGAUUGGCCCAAGAUCAAACAUAUCCCUAAAAUCAAGGUUGCUGAUGAUGACAAUGGUGAAGAAACAUCUGAUUAGGUGCGGGUUAUAAGUAUUUAAAUAUAUCAUAUUUAGUUUCACAUUUUUAUCCAUUCUUCAAUUCCUUUUUUUCCUUUUAAAUUCUUUUCAAUGUUUAUUUGACACAACCUCUUGUGGUUUGGAGGGGCAGGUUCAAGUGGAACUCCAUCAGAUUUAACCAGAGCAAAAGAAUAAGAUAAGGCAUGUCGUGGGUGUCAUGAUAAAAUACAAAGUUAACUAAUUCAUUCAACAAUUUAAAUUUCUUUGAACUUAAUACAUCAUUAUUAAAUUCUAUUUUUGUUUAAUUUCUUCAGGUUUACUUUUGUGAGGGUCCUCUCGGCUGAGAUCUUCUACAACAGUUUGUCACUUACGAAGAUCAACUUAAGGCUCGAAGUGUCUGUUUUGUGUAAUUUCCUUGGCUAGCUGUGUGUGAUGACUUGUCAUGAAUCAAUUGAUAAACAUUUGGUUGUUCUGAAUUUUGGUUUGCCUCUGUAUCUUAUUUAAAAUAUUGUGUGUGAUCAUUUAAAUAAUUUUGCUUAACAUAUAAAUUCCUCCUUCUAAACAAACUAAAAAGCUGAAAUAUCAAAGAAACUUCCAUUAGAGGUCUGCGUGACUAGCUAUCAUGCUCAGUAGCUUUUCUAUUCCAGUAAGAAAAAUGGAAAAUCAAAGAAACUUCCAUUAGAGGCAAUCAUAUGUAGGCUUCCAAAAGUUUGCUGCUGCUACCUGCAUAUUGCAACAUCCUGAUAGGUGUAUAGCCUGAAAGCUGCACUAUAAAUGUAAUCUGGUUCUUGAUGGGAAAAUAAACUUACUUUAGUCAUCGAGAAUCAACAACCUAGCUCUAAUCUGAUGGCUUCACUUUCAGUAAUUCCAUUUGAUCUUCCACGGUUUCUGAUCACAGUUAGUAUAUAAAACUCUCAGUCUUUUGAGAUGAUGCACAUCUUACUAACACAAGCACGUACACAUGGAGAGAUGAUUAUGUAAUGGAUACUACAUAAAUGCUGAAGAACAAAAUAAUAAUUACAAAUGUGAUUGGCACUCUAGUUGUCUCAUUAGACUGUAAUUGCAGAAGAGUGUUAGAUACCAUAUGCUGCAAUAACUGUACAGGGCAGUGAAAAUCUAUGGUAACAUGAACUAGCUAGUAACAUUACAUACAUAAGAGUUUUGGCAGCCAGAGUAAUGUAAAUGAUUCUGAUAACUGAACAACAUCAGCUUCAGAACUUCUUCCAUCGCUAAAACAAAAGGUGUUCAAUCACACUUGUAAGUAAUGGGAUACAAAUUAAGAGCUCAAUGUGAAUGAUUUGGAAGUAAUCUGAAAGUUUCCACUGGCCAUCUCAAUUUAUCCAUUACUAGACUGAGUAGUAAUGCAAACAUUUGGAAUAUGCACAAGUACAAAAACUAAUCCAUAUUCAAGUGUUUUUGUCUCUGAGCAAGUGAGAAUAAGAGAGGACGGUUGCUUUGGGGGUUGAGGAAGAGGAAGAUCAUCAUAGUGGGACAAAGGAGCAGGUAGUUUUAGCCUUUUGGGGUUAAUUUAGUUUCACAUCCUUGAACUUUUAUGUUUUUUCUAAUGCAUCCCUCUGUAUAGAUUAUUUGUUUUAAUAUAACCCUCCUCCUAAAUCUAUAUUUAUGGUCCGUUUGGAAACGCGAUCCAAACCGAGUUUCUUUAAAUUUUGAAAAAAAAAUUUACAUUUUCAUAUCAUUUUAAUGUGUUGAUCUCAAAAAUAAUUUUUAAAAAAUAAAAAAAAUUAUUUUGAUGUAUUUAUAAACAAAAAACAUUUUAAACCGCAAUCACUAUCACAAUCCCAAAUAUACCUUAUAAUAUAGCCCUUCUGUCCAGUUUUAGGCAUUUAAUGUACCAUCUUAGGUGAGCAAGAUAGUCCAAGCCAUGUUAACUUUUAUCCGUAUAAAACCCGACAAAAGUUAGGCAUGAGAGGGUCAAUCCAAAUUUGGCUACUUAGUUUCUAAUAAUACAAGUCAUCAACAUAACCCUUCCCAUAGAUGAAGGUGGUCUUGGGAUUAGCUAAUUCUAUGAUGUUUCGACUGCGUAUGAACUCAAGAUUUUAUGGUUUUACAAAUCGGUUUUUCAUCUCAGUUCGGUUUUUUCGGUUAUUCGGUUUUUUUGAACACCCCUAACCACAGUCAUCAAGAAUCUCAAACUUACUACAAUGUCUCAUUCAUGAGUUUCAAAGAUCGAAGGGACAUCCAAUAACAUAUUAAAAGUUUAUAAAUUUUUAUACUCUAUUUUUCAUUAAAAUUUGAAAUUUCUUUGCUUAAAUAAAUUAUUUUUUUAUUUUUAAUUUUUUUUAAUAUAUAACUGAUAAAAAAAAUAUUUUAAUAUAUUUUAAAGUAAAAAUUAAUACCUAACACACUUCAAAACCACCCCUUGAUCCUAACCAAUUUUUAUAAAACUGUUUUUUCAUUUUUUUUCAAACAAACAUUACCGCCGCGUACCUCGCCAUAAAAACAAGUGACUCAUCGACACAACCACAGCCACCGCCAUCUUCUUGCAAAAUAAAAUGACCCUCAAACAAAACUUCUAGCUUCCUAUAACUAGAAAAACCGAACUUUUAAUUAACACUAACAGCAGCCACUAGCAGCGCCGCCUUCCCUAUCUAUACCACCACAACCACCCCGACUCCUUCCCUAACAAGCUUUAAUUUAGCAUUAGUGACUUGAAUUUGUAUCAUCACUAUCCAGAUAUUCCUUGCGCAAAAGACAAGGAGUGCUCCUUUUUGUUUCGUUCAUGUCAUUUUCCUUGCUUCUAGGCCAAGAUUUAAAGCUAUUCCCCUCCACAUAUUUGCCUUAUCUCAACUAUCAUUCAUUCCAAGAAAUGGACAUUCUCUGUCAUCUUCACCUUCACUGUUAUCCCCUCAACCUUCUUGUUUUUAGCACUCAAAAUCUUUGCUGGAAAAUCUAUCAACAAUCCCAACUAUCCACCAGUUAAAUGCACAAACUUUAACCAACUUCUCCGCUUCGACAGGCUCUAUGGCUGCCAAACUGAGCUUAUCGUUUCUAACUCUGGAGUGUAUUGUGUAUUCAUUGAUAGUGUAUAUGGAUUUCUUUUAUAUAUAUAAAUCAAGUAUUGAACAUGAAAUCAAAGAAAAAAUAGCUUAGGCGGUCUCAUCAAACUAUAGAUGAAAGAUCUAUACUCACCAUUCGGAAAUUCAUUCACGACUAGGCUAUAAAUAGAUCUUCAAGAGAGAUAAAAUAGAAAGCUAAUAGAACCAUCUAAAAAUAUAAAGCAAGAUUUAUCUUAAGUGGGAUAGAACAAAAGAAGAGAGCUUGAAUUUGAUGAUCUGUAGGUAUUUAAUUCACUCUUGCCUUUUGUCUUCUUGUCCGUCUUUGACUCUGAAAGCACUCUACAGAUGGAUGAAGAUGGAAGAUACAAUUGAAAAGUAGAAUCUAGACUCCACACUCUUUUAGCAAAUUAAAAAGCUAUUUUUAAAAAAAAAUUAAUUUAAUUUUUUUUAACAAAAAUAGAUUUAAAAUAAAUCAUAAUAAAAAUUCAAAAUUUUUUUUAUAAAUUACUUUUUAAUUCACGGUACAAUAGGUAUUGGAUAAACAAUGAUUUUCUCUGUAUCCUUGAAAUAUGAAAGGAGAGGAAGAUGCUGCUGAUUAGUAAAUGACGUCAAUUAUAUGAAUACUCCAUCACCUAAUUAAAAAAAAAAGUCUCACUUCCCCACACAAAUAGCAUCCCAAGUAGCCAUUCAUAAUUUACAACGACAAAUAUAGCAAGCAAAAAACUAUUUAGAAGCUACAAUUUCUGUGUUGCUUUCAACUUUGCUUUCAUGGUUUUUUUCAUAAUUUUCUAAUUUAGUAUAUUUUAUAUAUUAUUGAAUUGUUGUAUUUUACUUUUAUAAUACGUCUAGUAGAAUAUUUACAUCUGCUUAUGAAAAACUUAAAAAGAAGGAGAAAAUUGAUAGUUUGAUUCACUUGUCAGUUCUUGAUUCAUCAAACUCUUCCAAAGUCCCCAAAUGAGUUCGAGUUCGAGCAUGUGUGGUCACUAUUCCAUGGGAGAAGCUACGACACAAUUGCAUAACUCUAAAUUAUUAGCAACUACUUGUAAAUUUAUUCUUUUUGACUUUUCGUCCCUUAAUUUUGUGAUCAAGAAGACUCAACGACUUCUCCUCUCCACUCAGAAAGCGGAACUCCACUCUUAUCUCAAUCAUUUCUGAGAAGAGAUUGAAAGCCAUCAACGCAGUGCUGUCCGAUGCUGAGCAGAAACAAUCAAAGAAUGACAGGAUUCGGUUCACAAAAGUCUUGCAUGAUGCUGAGGACAUGCUGGACGAAAUCGAGUGCAAUCUCUGUGUUGCCUGCUGCGUCAAUUUGCUUUCAACUUUUAUUUCAUGGUUUUUUUUCUUAAUUUUCUAAUUUAGUAUAUUUUAUAUAUUAUUGAAUUGUUGUAUUUUAUUUUUAUAAUACGUCUAGUAGAAUAUUUACAUCUGGUUAUUAAAAACUUAAAAAAGAAAAAAGAAAAAAUGAUAGAAUAUCCCUACUAAACGUAUUUUUUAAAUAAAUUUUUUUUUAAAGGACUGGUUUUUAUUGUUUUACAUCCUAAAAGGUAUAAUUUAACUGAUUAGACUUUUAAUUUGCUUCUCUGAGAUUACUAGUUUAAGUUCUACAAACCUCAGGGCUACUGGAAAUUUACAUGGUUAUUAAUUUUAAGGUCUCGAGAGAUUACUCAAGGUACGCAUAAGCUAACUCGGACACUCAUAGUAAAAAAAGAAAAAACAAGAAGAGGAAGGAAGGAAGGGCUAAAGGAGUUGUAUCCAAAUUUGGUUGGAAUUGGGAAAGAAAUGGUGGAGAAAUGCAAGCAAAUUGCUUUGGCAGUGAUUAAAAUCACAUGAGGACUCAACUUUAUGGUAAAAGUGAUGAAAAAAGAGUGGGAGUCGGAGAGAGAGAGAGAAGACGAGGGAGAUCGUAUUUUACUGCUUUGAAACUAAGUUACCGAAGACCACCGACACAAUUGAAAAGAUUAUGAGGAAGCAAUUUCCUUGGAUACCUCUAAAAUGCAUGAUCUUGCAUCAUCAUUGGCUCAAAAUGAGUUUUAAUUCAUAAGCUCUCAAAACUACCGAUUUAAUUUCCAAAACGACCCGUCAUUUGUCAGUUACUGAUUCCAUUUCAUUUUUUCAUCAAACUCUCCCCAAGUCCCCAAAUGAGUUCGACCAUGUGUGGUCAAUAUUCCAUGGGAGAAGCUACAACACAGUUGCAUCACUUUAAAAAUAAACUUCAAUUUAAAUAUUAUUAUUAUUGUUAAUUUAUGUGUUAAAUUGUGAAUUAGCGAAUAAUUUAAAUUUUGAUUUUGAGUGAAUUUAAUUAAUUAAAUCUGCGCCAUUAUGUCAAUAAAAAAAUAAUUAAAAAAAAUAUAAAAAAAUUCAAAACUUUUUAAUAACAUUUUUAAAACAUAAAAACCAACUAUCUUUGGAUUUGAUACCAAUCUUGUGGCUGGCCCAAAUAUAUGAUAGUUGUAAAGAUUUUCAGAUAGAAUUUGGAGCUGGUGGCUGUACAUCUUUGGCUUAGAAAGCACUUCUAUUAUAGCAUUCUACAGAUGGAUGAAGAUGAAAGAUACAAUUGAAAACUAGAAUAUGGACUCUACACUCUUUAGGUUAGCAAAUUACAGACCUAAUUUUUUAAAAUUUUAAUUUAAAAUGAUAAAAUUAACAAAAAUAAAUUUUAAAAAAUCAUAAUAAAAAUUCAAAAAAAAAAAUAGAUCUUUCUAUUAUAAUCCACGGUGCAAUAAGUGUUGGGUGAACAAUGAUUCCUUUCAUAUUCUUUAAUUUUUGUUAUUUCAUAAAGUUUAACAACAUGAUUUUUCACCAAAACUAUUUUUUUAAUAAUAUAAAAUUUUUUUAUAAAAAGCCAAGUGCAAUUAAAAAAAACCCAUCAAAUUCAUAAACUAGGAUAAUCUGAGUUAUUUCGACAAACUCAUAAUUCAUGUUAACCUCGUAAAAAAACAAAAUAAAAAAAAAACAAAUUACAAAAUUAAACUCUUAACCAUCUCACUAUUAUAAAAUAAAAUCAGCUAAAAUAAUUUUUUUUUUAAAUCCUAACAAUAAAAAAAUAUAAAAAAAUAUUAUAGCAAUCCGUGGUUUUGUAAAAAAAAAUUAAAGUGAUUUUCCUAAUUCAUCUGCACAUAUUUAAUCCAGAUAUGAUUAAAACUAGAAACUAACUCGAUUUUUUUGCGACAGCAGGUCGCCUAAGAAUAUGGUCAAAUAUGCGUGACUGUGUACAUUUUACAUGUAUAAAAGUAAACGGACCCACGCAGGUCCCUGUGUUUCAUGAUGUAGGCUGAACCUGUCAACACGUUAGAUGGAGGAUGCCUGCUGAUUAGUCAAUGAAGCCAAUUUGGUCUGUUUGCUCUGUUUGGUCUUUGCAAAAGUUAGGAAGUGCACCCAAAUUCUACGAACCCGUCCACAAACCAUUUAGAGUAAAAAAAUAAAAUAAAAAAUAAAAAAAGGGCAAACAAUGGUCAAAGAUGCGGGUCCAAGCCAAAAAAGUGCACCGGCUAAGCUCCUUUAAUGAAAUGGGCGCAUUUGGUGCAGCGGUAAGAGCACAUUAAUUCCACCAAAAAGAACUUUUAAAAUUAAAAUAAAUAACAAUGGUCAAAGAUAAGGGUCCAUGCCAAAGACAAUAAUUCAAACACAUAUCAGAAAAUAAGGCUUUUUUUUUUUUAGUGUAGGGCAUUUUUAUGAAGUUUUUUUUUUAAAAAUAUAUUAAAAUAUUGUUUUUUCUUUAUAUUUUUCCAUUAAAAUAUUUAUAAAAUACUAAAAAUAUUUUUUUAAAUUUUUUAAAAAAAUACUCAAAAUUUUAGAAAAACCGAUCGAAUUACUCUCCUCAACAAAGCUUAAAAUAGGUAAUGCUUUUACUAUUCAACCUCAUAAAAAAACUAUUCAUUUCAACAUCAUAAAACACUCAUCAAAUGUAUAAAAAUAAAACAACCUUAAAUGUAUAAAAAUAAGAUAACUUGUGCUAUUUCGAUAAGUCCACAAAUCAUACUAAUCUCAUAAAUAAAAAAAUAAAUAAAAAGAAAUUACAAAAUUAAAAUUUUAAUUAUCUCAAUAUUAAAAAAAUAAAACAAGUAAAAAUAAUUUUCAAAAAAUUAUAAAGAAACAAACUAUAUGAAAAGAAAUCACAUAAAAAAAGCCGAUGGAAAAAAACAUUGUAACAGUACAAUACCUUUCCCAUUCAUAUUUUGUAAUAAGGGUGUCUGUGUACAUUUAUUUGUAUAAAAGCAAAGGGACCCGCGUAGGUCCAUGUGUUUCAUGUUUGAAAGUAAGUUACCUAAGACUGCCGACAGCCUUGAAAAGAUGCUUUCUUUAUUGUGCCAUUUUUUUCAAGAUAUUAUCAGUUAUAGGAUGUUAAAAAUAAUUUUUAUAAAAUAAAAAAAAAUAUUAUUUUAAUUUACUUUAAACUAAAAAAUAUUUUAAAAAAUAAUUAUUCUUCUUCUCCUUUUAGUUCAUACAAUUUUGGAUGGCACAUGCAUUCAAUCAUCAAUCCAAAAAUCCAAAUGAUAGCUUGAAAGAUGCUGUCUUGUGUUAUGUGCGCGAGUUGAUCUCAAGAUGUUUCUUCCAAGAUUAUGAUGAUUUACCUUUUUUUUUUCUCAAGCUUUAAAAUGCACGAUCUUGCAUUAUCAUUGGCUCAAAAUAAAUGUUCCUGACUCCAUUUCAUUUUUUCAUCAAACUAAUCCAAAGUCCCCAAAUGAGUCCGACCAUGUGUGGUCAAUAUUCCAUGGGAGAAGCUACAACACAAUUGCACUACUUGUAAAUUUAUUCUUUUUGACUUUUCAUUCCUUAAUUUUAUGAUCAAGAAGACUCAAACGACUUCUCCUCUCCACUGUUCUCUCAAUCAUUUCUUCCUAUCAAACACUUCUCCCCUCACUCAAAAAGAAAAUGGCAGAUGCUUUUACAGCCGAGAUUGCACAAUCCCUUAUAGGGAAGUUGACAUUGCUCGUCUUGAAAAGAGAUUGAAAGCCAUCAACGCAGUGCUGUCCGAUGCUGAGCAGAAACAAUCAACCAAUCACAAGAUUCGGCUCUGGCUCAACGAUCUCACAGAAGUCUUGCAUGAUGCUGAGGACAUUCUGGACGAAAUCGACUGCGAAACUUUGCGAAGGCAGGUGGUGAAAACAACAGGGAGCACCAGCAGAAAGGUACGGCGCUUCUUUUCAAGCUCUAAUAAGAUUGCAUUCCUUUUAAAAAUGGGUCAUAAGAUAAAGAAGAUCAUAGAAAGACUAGCUAAGAUUUCAUCUCUUGAGUCUGAGUUCCACCUCAGCGAGCAGGCUAUUGAUUGUAGCCAUUUCUCGCAUGAGGAAACAGAGAUGAACCGAUCCUUUGACAGCUUUUCCGGUCUUAUUGGAAGAGAUGAAGACAAAGAACGCAUCACCAGCAUUUUAGAAGCACCUUUUAAGGUUGGUGGUGCACAUCCCCUUGUUCUUCCGAUUGUAGGAAUGGGAGGCUUGGGGAAGACAUCUCUUGGCAAAUCGGUGUGUGAUGCUGAAAAUGUAAAAAGUUAUUUUGAUCUGAAGAUGGAGGCAUGUGUUUCAGAUGAUUUUUCCUUGAAACAAGUGAUACAAAAGAUUAUUAAAUCUGCAACUGGGGAAAGAUGUGCGGAUUUGGAUGGGGGUGAACUUGAAAAAAAUCUUGAAGAAAUUGUGAAGGGUAAGAAAUACCUGCUUCUUUUGGAUGAUGUUUGGAAUGAAGAAGCUCAAAAAUGGUUGUUGUUGAACACUUUGUUAUCAAAAGGUGCUGCUGGAAGUAAGAUUAUAGUAACUACCCGUAGUCGACGUGUUGAUGAGAUUAUGGGUACUGUUGCUCCGCACAACCUAAGUCUUCUUGGUCAGGAGGACUGUCUGUCGUUGUUUUACAAGUGUGCAUUCAAGGAAGGGCAAAUGUAUCCAAAUUUGGUUGGAAUUGGGAAAGAAAUAGUGGAGAAAUGCAAGCAAGUUCCUCUGGCAGUGAUUAACUUGGGGACUCAACUGUAUGGUAAGACUGGUGAAAAAGAAUAGGAAUCGGUGAGAGACAGUGAGAAGUGGGAAGAAGAGGGAGAUGGUAUUUUACCUGCCUUGAAAAUAAGCUAUCAAAGACUGCCGACUCACUUGAAAAGAUGCUUUGUUCUGUUUUUCCAAAAGAUUACUUGUUCCGAGAUCUCUUAAUGGUGCAAUUUUGGAUGGCACAUGGGCUCAUUCUUCAAUCAUCGAAUCCAAAUGAGAAGUUGGAAGAUGUUGGCUUGCGUUAUGUGCGCGAGUUGAUCUCAAGAUGUUUCUUCCAAGAUUAUGAGGUUAGGGCAUUUAUAGCUACCUUUAAGAUGCAUGAUUUAAUGCAUGAUCUUGCAUCAUUAUUGGCUCAAAAUGAGUUUUCAAUCAUAAGCUCUCAAAACCACCAAAUUUCCAAAACGACCCGUCAUUUGACAGUUCUUGACUCUGAUUCAUUUUUCCAUCAAACUCUCCCCAAGUUCCCAAACAACUUCCAUCAAGUGCGGUCAAUAGUCUUUGCAGAUUGGAUAAUGGGGCCUACAUGCAAAACAAACUUUGAGAAAUGUUUGUUAGAAUUUGAGGAUUUUCCAGAGAGGAUUGGCGCCUUGAAACAUUUGAGAUAUAUCCAUUUUGGAAGGAACCCAAAAAUAAAAAGACUCCCAAAAUCUAUUUUUAAAUUGCAAAACUUGCAAGCUCUAGUUACAGGUGAAUGAUUAGAAGAGCUGCCCAAAGAUGUGAGGUACAUGAUCAGCCUUAGAUUUUUAGAUCUAACUACUCCGCAGAAGCAGUUGCCAGAAGGUGGGAUUGGGUGUUUGGAGUGUCUUCAAACUUUAUUAAUUACUAAUUGUGAAAAUCUAGAAAAUUUGUGUGAAGAUAUGCAAGGUCUUAAAGGUCUUCGAAAAUUGCUUAUUGGUGCAUGUGAUAGCUUGAUUUCUCUGCCGAGAAGCAUAAAAUGCCUAACUACUUUGGAAGAAUUAUUUAUUAUCUACUGUAAAAAGCUUGAUUUGAUGAUAAUAGAAGAAGAGAAAGAGGGAAAAAUUCAACCUCUUUCCCCUUCCCUUCGUAUUGUACUAUUUGUGGCGAUACGAGCAACUAUUGCUUUACCAGAACAGUUUCUUCAAGGAUCUGCAGAAUCCUUUCAAACAUUUAUCAUCAGAGACUGUCCGAACAUUGAAAAAAUGCUAGAAUGCAUCGACAAUUUAAAAAAACUUCAAAAUCUUGAGAUCGGUGAUUGUCCAAGGUUGAGCAAAAGGUGCCGUAGGGAAACAGGAGAAGAUUGGCCCAAGAUCAAACAUAUCCCUAAAAUCAAGGUUGACAAUGAUGACAGUGGUGAAGAAACAUCUAAUUAGGUACGGGUUAUGAGUAUUUAAAUAUAUCAUAUUUAGUUUCAUAUUUUUAUCCAUUCUUCAAUUCCUUUUUUUCCUUUUAAAUUCUUUUCAAUGUUUAUUUGACAAAACCUCUUGUGUUUUGGAGGGGUGGGUUCAAGUGGAACUCCAUCAGAUUUAACCAGAGCAAAAGAACAAGACAAGGCAUGUCGUGUCAUGAUAUAUAAAAUGUAAAGUUAACUAAUUCAUCCAGCAAUUGAAAUUUCUUUGAGCUUAAUACAUUAUUAUAAAAUUCUAUUUUUGUCUAAUUUCUUCAGGUUUACUACUGUGAGGGUCCUGUCAGCUAAGAUCUUCUUCAACAGUUUGUCACUUACGAAGAUCAGCUUAAGGCUCGGAGUGUCUGCUAUGUGUAAUUUCCUUGGCUAGGUGUGUGUGAUGAUUUGUCAUCAAUAAAUUGAUAAACAUUUGGUUGUUCUGAAUUAUUGGCUUGUCUCUUUAUUUUAUUCAACUUAUUUUAUUUAAAAUAUUGUUAAUUUUAUGAAGUUAAUUUUAUUAUUAUCACUAUUUUUAAUUUAUGUGUUAAUUUGUGAUUUAGUGAAUAAAUUAAAGUUUUGAUUUUGAGUGAAUUUAAUUAAUUAAAUUCGCAAAGAGGGUAUUGAAAUCAUGUAGAGAAUGAAGGAUUUUAUGUGAAAGCUAGGCAAUUUUUUUUUAUUUGCUUGUGCACGUUUGUUUAUUUUCGAUUUUGAAGAAUUUAUGUCUGUUUCGUAGGCUAAUUUUUUGGAUUAGGUAUAAUGUAGAUAUGUUGGAUCUAUCUUGCUUCUUAUACUGAACCUAUGAUAUUUCAGUGAUUUGAUUCUUCCAAUAAAGUCGACGAUUGCAUUAGGAGAAUCUCUAUGAUGUUCUCUGAUGAAUGUGAAACAUCCCCUUACCAUACCUUCUUUAUAAUGUUAGAAAAUUUUCUAGUUUUUAGAAACUUCAUGGAUGCUUGUGAUAGAUGACUUGAUAUAUUUCUAUUUGCAUAUUAUUAAAAUAUUUCUCAAAUUAAUCUCCCAUUAUUGAAGUUAACCUAACUCUAAUUACAUCUUCAUUCUAAUUCGGACAAUUAACGGAACUUAUCCUUGCAAACCAGGAGAGAAGGGAGGACUCAAGUUUGAUGGAUUCCUAAUGCCAAAGUAAACUAAAAACUCAACAUUUUGUCAUAAAAAUAGGGUUUUAGAUCUCUGUUAUAUUUGUCUACUCUACCUGAGGCAAGCAACACUCUUGCAAACUUUGACGUCGCCGCCUGAAAAAAAAUAAAAUACCACCGCUUACUACUAACAGCAACCAUUGACGUCGCCGCCUUCACUCUCUAGACCACCACAACCACCUCCUACUCUUUCGUUGAUAAAUUCACCUCUUUACAUCCACUUUCCAAAUCUUCUUUAUUUAUGUUAUUAUAGCACAAUUUUUAACCCUUCUUAAAUAUCUAAAAAAUAUAUUUUAACGAGAAAAAAAUAUUUCAGUUAACAAAUAUUUCAAAAAAAAAAAACAAGAAAAAAACAGAGAAAAAUUACUAUCAGUGGGGAGAUUGAAAGUCGUUAAAUAAUUGAAAAUUGGAAAGCUAAGGACCAAUUUGAAAAACACAUCAAUAUUUAAGGACUAUAUGUAAUGCAAUCAAGAUGAAGUUGAGAAAAAAUAAAGAAAAAAGGGUUGAAAUUGGAUAAAAAUAAAACAAUUAAAUAUGCAAGAACCAAACUUGAAAAGACACCAAACUUAAGGGACCUUUAAGAAAAAGAAAUUUUGCUGCAAUUCAAAACGUUGUCAUUUUGAAUUAAAAAAACAAAACUUAAAUGCAACCGUGUUAUUCUAUCAAUAAACAAAUAUGUUAAAAAAAUUGACAAAGGAAUAGAAAAAAUGCAUAAGAAAUUACAUUAUAACAUAUAUUAAAAUUGCUCUGUGUUUCACUGUGCACUGUGCACUGCACAGUGCAGUCCGCAGUAAAAAACUAAAUUAUUUUUUUAAAAAAAUAAAAAAAAAUUUUUGUUUUGUUUUUUUAUGCCUUUAUGAGUUUUUUUUUUGCUUUUUUUCUUUGUGUUUUUUUCUUUUAAUAGAUUUUUUUUGUUUAAUUUAGUUUGUUAAUGUUAAGUUUUUUUUUUAAUUUAGUUAUCAGACUUUCAUGACACGAAGCCCUAGUUUGACGGGUUAACCUGGUUUGACAAGUUAACUCAGAAUUUUUUUUUGCUUUUUUCUUUUUAAUUAAUUUUUUUCAUUUAGUUUAGUUUGUUAAUGUUAUAUUUCUUUUAUUUAAUUAUCAGAUUUUUAUGACACGUAUCCCAGACUUGAUGGGUCAACCCAGUUAUUUCUGGGUUAACCCAUCAAUUUUUUUUCUAUUUAGUUAUCAAACUUUCAUGACGCGAAUCCUAGGUUUGACGGGUUAACCUGGUUUGAAGGGUUAACCUAGUUGAUUCAAUUUUUUUUUCUUUUUCUUCAUUAGUUUUUUUCUUGUUGUUGUUUUUUUUUAUUUGUUUUUUUUUAAUUAAUCUAUUUAAUUAUCAUAUUUUUAUAACACGACCUUACAACUAGAUCUACAUCCAAGCCUAUUGGAUCUGAUAUUGUAGCCAAACCCACUUAAACUUGAGUCAUGCAAACUUAAUGUUAUUAUUAAUAUUAUAAGUAUUACUCCUGGGUCAGGCAUUGCAGUCAAACCCUAGACUCUUGGAUAUAAUUUGCAAAAAGACAUAACACUUUAAAAUCUUAGCUUUUUAUUUUUAUUUUUUUAAUGCAAAAAUAAUUGACCCGCGGCAUCGCGAGGGUCAUGUAACUUGUAAUAUACUAAAGUUGUGAAUAUAUCCAUGGACUUUAUAAAGUUUAAUAAUUUUUUUUUCUGAAACUAUUUUUUAAAACUAUAUAAGAAAAAAAAAUAAACGUUAAAAAAGUUAAGUUUAAUUAAAAAAAUAGUCCACCAAACUCGUAAAUUAAGACAACCUGAGUUACCAUAACAAAUCAUACUAAUCUUAUAUAAAGGUAAAAAAAAAUUCAUGAUUGUUUUCCAUCAAUAGCAAGUUUUAUAUUUUAAUCUAUUUUUUUUAUAAGAUGUAAAUGCAAAUUUCGUGAUUGUUUUUCAUUAAUAGGAGGACUUUUUAUUCUAUUUUUCUAUUAUAUUUUUAAAUCUGGUUUUUAACCUAAAUAAAAUUAAUUAGCAUCAUCACUAUCAUAAUUAAAAACUCUUGAGAAAGUUCAUAAGAUAGGAUAGGUCAUGAUCAUCUUUGAUCUGUGUUGCAUCUCAGAUUCUGAGAGAGACAUCACUUGCUUUUCUACCAGGAUUGUUUAUGCUAUUGUGCUUACUGCUUAGGAAGUUCUAAGUAAAGGAUAGAUUCUUUAGAAGAUUUUUUCCAAAGUAAGUAAAGGAUAAAUUUUUAAUUUUUUUUUCUUUGUUUUUUCUGCCUGGCCAUGCUCCAAAGAAAAUAUUUUAGGACUAGUUUGGGCCAUGGCCCUAACACUACUGGGCCCGUAGCCUAUUAAAACUCUGAAAAAUCCAUGAAUCCAAUAUCCUAGCAAAACCUUGAUAAACUCUCAUUGUUACCCUUUUUAUAUGGUUUUGUUGUGUAUAUUGUUUUUGAGAGUAUAAUAAUUAUUAUUUUAAAGUAUUUUUUAAAAUAUAUAUUAAAAUAUAUAUUUUUUAUUUUUUAAAAUUUAUUUUAACAAUAUUAUAUUAAAAUGAUAAAAAAAUACUAAAAAAUAUUAAUUUGAAGUAAAGAAAAAAAUAAAAAUAAAAUUUAAAUUUUUUUAAAAUGCUUGUGAAUUAAAAAAGAAACAAGGCCUAAAUAAUCAAAUAAGUUAAGAAUGUACUUGAUUUGUUAAACAAUAUUUUCCCUCUUCAGCAGCUUGAGAUUUGGGUAUAUAAGUAAAGAUUAAGUAAUAACAUCAAGGGUGGAAUUAUGAUUCAACCCUAAUUUAAUUUAAUUAAAAAGAUAUACAAAAUCAAAACAAAUUUAAUUCAUAUCAGUAUCGGCUAAGCUCCUUUAAUGAAAGCACAUAAAUUCCACCAAAAAAAACUUUUAAAAUUCAAAUACAUUUCAAUGGUCAAAGAUAAGGGUCCGUGCCAAUGACAAUAAAUCAAGCACAUAUUAGAAAACAGAUGCUUACAAAAUUAAAUAUUAAUCUAAAAAUAAAUAUUUAUUUAAUAUGAUUAUAUUUAGAAAGCAAACAAAAAUUAAUAACGCAGUCCAUUUCUCCACCAAUCCAAUAUUAAAUGAUAAAAUUGAGAAGAAAUAAAUUAAAAGAUAAAAAAAAACAUAUUAUAUCGGUGGGUAAACUUGUCAAACCUAUGAACCGUGUAAGCCAGGCUAGUACGUCAAACCUAUAAACUGAGUUAUAGACUCCACUAGGAUUAUAAAAAAAAUUGUAAUCUAUUUUUUAUUUAACUAUACAAAUAACAAAAAUAGAUGAUUAUAAAAUCAAAUACAAUCCCAAUAAUGAGAUGUUUUUUAGAUAACGAUAACCUCAUAAAAGGAAAAACUAAACCAAUUAUGAAACUAAAUUCCCAAUUAAUUUAGUAUCUAAGGAUGAAAAAAAUAAUAAUUUAAAAAAGUUAAACUUGCUAGACUCGCGAACCAAGUCAAUCAACUAAACCUGUGAAUAGACCCACAAACUUUAUAAAGUUUAAUAACAUAACUUUUUUCUAAAACUUUUUUUUUUUUAACUAUAUGAGAAUAAAAUAGAAGAUAAAAAAAUUUAAGUUCAAUUAAAAAAAACUAAACCUGUAAAUCAAGGCAACCAGGGUUACCAUAGCAAACCCGCAAACCAUGCUAACCUUAUAGAAUGGUAAAAUAAAAAGAAACAAAUUUUGAAGCCAAAUUCUUAAUCAUCUCAAUAUUAAAAGAUAAAAUUAACAAAAACAAAUUAAAAAAAAUCAUGAUACAAAUUCAAAAACAUAAAUGUCGCACCCUCACAGAGGAGUGCGGCGACCCUGGAUUGAUUUUGGUUGUUUUUUUGUUUUGUGUAAAGGAGCCGCCACCUAGUAUUUUGAUCACUAGGAAUCCUAACUAGUCUUUUAGAGAUUCUAAGACAAGGGACUGGUUGUGUAAAGGGAAGGUAUUAGCACCCCUAGUACGCCAUACCUAAGGUAAGUUGCUUGGUGUUUGGUUUGUUUUAUAAUUGCUAUGGUGUUGGUAUUUUCUAAUCCCAUCAGUUUUUCUAGGUUUGAUUCAAACUAAAUUUAUUAAGAUAGAAAUCCAAGGAGAUUCCAUGUGCUUUAAUAGCUCAUUUUUCCCUUAGUAUUUCAAGAGUUUGCGACUCGUAAAUCGCGAGGAGGGAAAAAAAUUUAGAAAUCUAGGGCGCUUAAAAAAAAAACAUAUUUUUGCCUUAGUGUUUUAUACUCUCACGACUCGUAAACCGUGGAGUAAAAAAUUGAAAUGUCCUCGAUUAUAAUCAAGGCUUCUUUCAAGGAUGUGUGAAGAUUUAUUAUUCCUAGAAAAUUAUUUUGGAUAUUUACCACUCAGGGUUUCUUUAUCCAAAUAUUAACAGUGAAUAGUAACAAAUUAUUCCCAAUAAUAUUUUGGAUAUUCGUCCUUUAAGGAUUUCUUUAUCCAAACAUUAGCGGUGAAUAAUCGAUGAAUUCCCCCCAAAAUAAGAUUUUUAUAUUUUUUGGAAUAUUGACCAAUACUUUUUAUAAUUUUACAAACAUGUUAUAAAAACUUCGAAUAUUUUUUGUAUAUAAAACAAAUAUUUAAAACAUGUUAGGGUAUUGGCCGUAAGCAACACACAAGAAAACAUUUUUUUUUAAACAGGAAUAACACGAUUACACAAACAUCACAAAAAAAUAUUCGCCUAUUCCAAAAUUCACAAGAAGCUUAAAACAAUUCAUCUCAAAUAAAUAAGGUUCGGGACACCAAUUUAAAACACAAGUCAGUGUGCACAAAAAAAAAAAAAAAAAAAAGUCCUAAAGCUAAAAAAAAAUUACAACAUGAACCGUGACCCCCCCUGCAAACUCAAAAAAAAAAAAAAAAACAAAGAAGAAAGUGUGUGAACCCAGAAUUGGCAUAAAAAAAGAAUCCUUAACUGAAAAAAGGGACCCUCCCUCACGUUUUUUCAAACUCUCUCUUCUGUACCUAAACACCUGUUUCUAUAUAGCGUUCCAUUGCAAGAAAACACUUGAGCGAAGGGAGAAAGGGAUGGUGGAGACUCUUAAAGCUCACAGUUUCUCAUGACCAGGGAGUAAAACACAAAAACGCAGCUUUAACAAUGAUAAUAAACUAAACUCAAAGACAGUGGGCAAGCAAGCCAUUUUGUUGCUAAGAUGGCUAAGAUGGAAAAUGAACGUCCCCGAAACAAAAAUAGAAACAGAUUUUUUUUUGAAAAAAAACCAAAUAAAUAGCUUUAAAUAUGUCAAAGAUGAAGGAAGUCGAGACUCAUACCUGCAGAUCCUGCACGUUUCAAAUGCAGAAGAUAAGACACAAACCGAUGGAAAAGCUUUUGCCUUUUGCCUCUGAAAAACCAAAGAAAGACUUCCUCUUUUGUUCUCUUGGCUUUUCUAGUUUUACUGUCGCCUGCCUCUAUUUUCUCCUCUCUGUUUUUUUCUCUUAAACAGUGAUGAAAGGAUCAAAGAAAGAACCCCUAUAUUCCCCUGUUAUCUGCGUUUUUUCUCCUUGCCUCUCUUGCAUUUUUCUUUUCUUUCUUUUGCUGUUUUUUCCUGCUCUUCUCUCCGGUGUUUCUCCCUUUUUUCCUAGGUCAUUAGAUGGGCUUAUAUAGUCUAACAUAUCUCUAUUUAGGAAAGAUUUAAUGCAUUAAUUCUAGAAUGCAAAUCCCUACUGAUCGGCAGUAAAAAAAAAAACGCAAAAGGAAACUAAAAUAUCCUGAUUCUAAUGUCUGAUUUCUUUCCAGUUUUUUAGAGGAUAGUGUGGCUUCUUUCUUUCCUUCAAUAGGUUCAGCUGCUCCCUUUGAAAUGAGGCAAUAAAACGUGGUUGCAGCUCCAAAAAUCAGGUGUGAUGAUAAAGGAAAACAUUAGGAAUUUGCAGAGAAAAAAGGAAAGAACUCAACCGGGAAGGUUUGUGUAGGAAAGAAAUGAAACGGGGGAGGGGUUGUUCUCAAAAUAACAAUCGUAAAAAUGAGAGCAAAACGUGAUCAACUCCCCUAUCUAGCUUUCAAUAUCCUUCUUCAAUUAAAUCCCUCAUUUUAGCACUUUUCGAUUUAGUCCUUGGUCCAAAAAAAUCCUUCGAAUCAGUCCUGCAAACUUGGGCUAAACCCUUUCUGCGGUAGGAUCCUCUGCUUCCACAUUCAAACAGGAAUAUAUUGAGCUUCUGAUAUCAAAAUCAAGUGAUUCAAAAGUCCAAAUUUAUCUACGCGUCUAGGACUACAACUUUGAUAAAGGAGUCGAAGUGAGAUAAAAUCAUUUUAGAGAACAGAAUCUGGCAGUAAUCUAGUUGAUCAAAAAGGAUCUCCGGGUCUAAUUUAGAAACUGACAAUGUUGAGAAUCUUGAUAUGACUGAGAAUAUGAUCUAAGAACAAAUCAAUAAAAUUUUUGAUGAAAAUAGAGUUUUUAGUGCAAAACUCAGGUUAGGAUCCUUCUCGCGGCAGAAUUCUCUACCUUUACGUUAGAACUUCAAACGAGAAUAUCUUGAGCUUAUGAUAUCGAAAUCAAGCAAUUCAAAAGUCCAAAUUUAUCUACAUGUCGAGGACUACAACUUUGAUGAAGGAGUCAAAGUGAGAUAAAAUCGUUUUAGAGAACAGAAUUUGGCAGUAAUCUGAUUGGUAAAAAAAAGGAUCUCCGAGUCUAAUUCAAAAACUGACAAUGCUGAGAAUCCUAAAAUGACUGAGAGUAUGAUUUAAGAACAAAACAACAAAAUUUGUGAUGAAAAUAGAGUUUUUUUAGUGCAAACCUAGGGUCAGGAACCUUCUCGCGGCAAAAUUCUCUACCUUCAUGUUAGAUAUUAAAACGAGAAUAUCUUAAGCUUCUGAUAUUGAAAUCAAGCGAUUCAAAAGCCCAAAUUUAUCUACAUGUCUAGGACUACAACUUUGAUUAGAGUCAAAGUGAGAUAAAAUCAUUUUAGAGAACAGAAUUUGACAGUAAUCUAGUUGGUUAAAAAGGUUCUUGAUCUGACAACGCUGAGCAUCCAAAUCUGACUGAGAAUCUGCCCUAAGAACAAUGAUCCCUAGGACUUAAUAAAGGUGUAGGUCAAUUUUUCAACAUGUCAUGAGUGACAGAAUAUAGCUAGGAUGGUCAGAUAUCGUACGAAACCAAGUCAGAAUCAGAGCCUAAGUUGGAACAAAAAAAAUUACGACAGCAGCAAAACCAUUUUUUUUAGUGCAAAUUCUGAGGGAUUUAUCCAACUUUAAAGACCAGAUAAAGAAGGAACGAAUUUAACAUUAUGAAGACUCCUGAUCAACCUAAGAAAACCUGACAAUUUGGGUAGUAAAGGGAAAGGAUAAAAAGAGCAGAAAACAGCUCAAACACGGUUUUGAAAAAAAAAAAUUUUAUUUCUCUGCUUUUUGUCAAUCUUCUGGCGAACAUGAGCUAAACUCCUACACUCAAUUCAAAAGAGGUAUGCACCGUCUCCAACACGUGGGGUCCAAAAUUGAGUAACAACAAUAAAGAAAAAAGAAAGAAAGCAAAACAACCGUGGGUUACUAUUGUCAUUCACGGUGCAAUGCGUGUGGGUGAACAAUGGUUUCCUCACACCCUUUAAUUUUUGUUACUUUAUAAAACUUAAUAACAUGACUUUUCUCUCAGACUAUUUUUUAACCAUAUGAGAAAAAAAAAUAAACUAUAAAAAAAGUUAAGUUCAAUUAAAAAGUCAUAAAAUCUAUAAACUAAUACCACCCACAAACCAUGCUAACAUCAUGCAUAGAAAAAAUAAAAGAAAAAAAUUACAAAACUAAAUUUUCAACCAUCUCAAUAUUAAAAAAUAAAACCAGCAAAAAUAAUUUAAAAAAAAUCAUAAAAAAAAUAUAUGAAAAGAAACCAUAUAUAUAUAAAAAACCAAUGUAAAAAAACAUUGUAACAGUACAAUACUUUUCCCAUUCAUUUAGGUUUUCUUUGUCAUAAUGGGUGACUGUGUACAUUUACAUGUAUAAAAGCAAAGGGACCCACGCAGGUCCCUGUGUUUCAUGAUGUAGGCUGAACCUGUCAACACGUUAGAUGGAGGAUGCCUGCUGAUUAGUCAAUUAUAUAAAUUCUCCAUCACCUAAAUUAAAAAAAAGUCUCACUCCCCCCACACAAAUAGAAUCACAAGUAGCCAUUUCAUAAUUUACAACGACAAAUAUUGCAAGCAAACAACUAUUUAGAAGUUACGUACAAUCUCUGUGUUGCCUGCAGCGUGAAUUUGCUUUGAACUUUUAUUUCAUGGUUUUUUCUCUUAAUUUUCAAAUUUAGUAUACUUGAUAUAUUAUUGAAUAGUUGUAUUUUACGUUUAUAAUACGUCUGGUAGAAUAUUUAAUCUGGUUAUGAAAAACUUACAAAAAAAAAAAGAAUCUAGUAGAAUUAUGCAAGUGUAUUUUUUUUUAAAAUAAUUACAACACUAGCUAUUGUUGUUUUAUAACCCUGAAAAGUGUAAUUUAAUUGAUUAAAUCCUGAGUUUGUUCAUCAGAAGUUAUUAGUUCAAGUGUUACAAACCUUAAGGCUACUAAAAACUUACAUGGUUAUUAAUUUCAGGGCCUUUAGAGAUUAGUCGAGGUGUGCAUAAGCUAACCUGCACACUCACAAAAAAAAAAAAGAAGGAAGGGCAAAAGGAGUUCCAUCCAAAUUUGGUUGGAAUUGGGAAAGAAAUAGUGGAGAAAUGCAAGCAAAUUCCUUUGGAAGUGAUCAAAAUCACAUGGGGACUCGACUUUAUGGUAAAAGUGAUGAAGGAAUCGGUGAGAGAUAGUGAGAAGUGGGAAGAAGAGGGAGAUGGUAUUUUACCUGCCUUGAAAAUAAGUUACCAAAGACCGCCGACACAUUUGAAAAGAUUAUGAGGAAGCAAUUCCCUUAGGUACCUUUAAAAUGCAUGAUCUUGCAUCAUCAUUGGCUCAAAAUGAGUUUUAAAUCAUAAGCUCUCAAAACCACCGAUUUAAUUUCCAAAAUGACCCGUUAUUUUUCAGUUACUGAUUCCAUUUCAUUUUUUCAUCACUCUCCCCAAGUCCCCAAAUGAGUUCGACCAUGUUUGGUAAAUAUUCCAUCGGAGAAGCUACAAGCCUACAACACAGUUGCAUCACGUUAAAAAUAAACUUCAAUUUAAAUAUUAUUAUUAUUAUUAAUUUAUGUGUUAAUUUGUGAUUUAGUGAAUAAUUUAAAGUUUUGAUUUUGAGUGAAUUUAAUUAAUUAAAUCGGCGCCAUUAUGUCAAUAAAAAAAAUAUUUUAAAAAAUUGAAAAAAUAAUAGAAAAAAUGCAUCAGAAGAAAUUGAUUUCCAAAAAGAGUCCUAAAUGUUCUCUUAUUGUAAGAUUAAGUUUUACUUGGCAAAAGCAUAUCAACGCUGAAAAUGGUUAAUCAAAUGGAUAUACAGAUAUCUGUACAUUUAUAAGAGCAUAAGAACAUGUUUGGUAUUAUAUAUAAAAAAACCUUUUUAUAUAAAAAUAUAUAAAAAUAAUAUUUUUUUAUUUUUUAAAAUUUAUUCUUGAUUAGCAUAUUAAAACGAUGUAAACACAUAAAAAUAAAAAAUAUAUUAAUUUUUUAAAUACAAAAACGAACUACCCCUAAUUUGAAAACUAUAAUAUGGGCUCUGGCUCCAUAUGCUCAGAGAAGUCUUGUGUGAUGCAGAGGACGUGCUCGAUGAUUUUGAGUGCGAAAUUUUUCAAAGCCAGGAGUUGAAAACUAAAGGGAGCACCAGCAGAAAGGUACUACACUUCUUUACAAGUUCUCCAUUCCGUUUACUAAUGGGUCAUAAGAUAAAGAAGAUCAUAGAAAGACUAGGUGAGAUUUCAUCUCUUAAGUCUGACUUCAACCUCAGCGAGCAGGCUAUUGAUUGUAGUCAUGUCUCGCAUGAGGGAACAGAGAUGAACCGAUCCUUUGAGACCUUUUCCGGUCUUAUCGGACGAGAUGAAGACAAAGAACGCAUCAUCAACCUUUUAGCAGAACCUUUUAAGGUUGGUGAUGCACAUCCCCUUGUCCUUCCGAUAGUAGGAAUGGGAGGCUUGGGGAAGACAUCUCUUGCCAAAUCGGUGUGUGAUGAUGAGAUUGUAAACACUCAUCAUUUUGAUCUGAAGAUGGAGGCAUGUGUUUCAGAUGAUUUUUCCUUGAAACAAGUGCUACAAAAAAUUAUUAAAUCUGCAACUGGGGAAAGAUGUGCGGAUUUGGAUGGGGGUGAGCUUAAGAAAAAACUUGAAGAAAUUCUGAAUGGUAGGAAAUACUUGCUUCUUUUGGAUGAUGUUUGGAAUGAAGAUGCUCAAAAAUGGUUGUUGUUGAAGCCUUUGUUAUCAAAAGGUGCUGGUGGAAGUAAGAUUAUAGUCACUACCCGUAGUCAACGUGUUGCUGAGAUUACGGGUACUGUUGCUGCGCACAACCUAAGUCUUCUUGGUCAAGAGGACUGUCUGUCGUUGUUUUACAAGUGUGCAUUCAAGGAAGGGCAAAUGGAGUUGCAUCCAAAUUUGGUUGGAAUUGGGAAAGAAAUAGUGGCGAAAUGCAAGCAAGUUCCUCUGGCAGUGAUUAACUUGGGGACACAACUGUAUGGUAAGACUGAUGAAAAAGAGUGGAAAUCGGUGAGAGACAGUGAGAAGUGGGAAGAAGAGGGAGAUGGUAUUUUACCUGCCUUGAAAAUAAGCUAUCAAAGACUGCCGACUCACUUGAAAAGAUGCUUUCUUUAUUGUUCCAUUUUUCCAAAAGAUUAUGAGUUCGCAGAUCUCUUAUUGGUGCAAUUUUGGAUGGCACA
This 23835-nucleotide long non-coding RNA is filed under the name Populus tremula. RNAcentral describes it as "long non-coding RNA (PTRE_LNC001297)". Lineage: Eukaryota; Viridiplantae; Streptophyta; Magnoliopsida; Malpighiales; Salicaceae. The record is from RNAcentral.